CACGUAGGGCGCAAGCGUUGUCCGGAAUUAUUGGGCGUAAAGAGCUCGUAGGUGGUUUGCUGCGUCCGCUGUGAAAACCCAAGGCUUAACCUUGGGCUUGCAGUGGAUACGGGCAGACUAGAGGUAGGUAGGGGAGAAUGGAAUUCCCGGUGUAGCGGUGAAAUGCGCAGAUAUCAGGAGGAACACCAGUGGCGAAGGCGGUGGUCUGGGCCGGAACUGACGCUGUAGAGCGAAAGCGUGGGGAGCGAACAGG
This 253-nucleotide ribosomal RNA is filed under the name uncultured bacterium. Its description in RNAcentral is "partial 16S ribosomal RNA". It matches the Rfam family "Bacterial small subunit ribosomal RNA", at positions 524 to 776 of the family's 1533-position model. The record is from RNAcentral.